Hippocampus comes (tiger tail seahorse) is the source of this 136-nucleotide long non-coding RNA. RefSeq lists it as uncharacterized. The record is from RefSeq and is a predicted model, not a curated record. NCBI's taxonomy places the organism in Eukaryota, Metazoa, Chordata, Actinopteri, Syngnathiformes, Syngnathidae. The transcript is spliced from 2 exons.
UGUUGUAGGUGUACCUCGAGGCCCGCAGAGAAGAGACUCAGAAACAGAAUCAGAGCCUGAAGAUGCUGUCAGAUGAAGUUUCACAGAUCCAAGAGGUGCGAUAUUGCCUGAAGACACUGAGGGAGCAGAUGGCGUC